GAUGAACGCUGGCGGCGUGCCUAAUACAUGCAAGUCGAGCGAACGGACGAGAAGCUUGCUUCUCUGAUGUUAGCGGCGGACGGGUGAGUAACACGUUGAUAACCUACCUAUAAGACUGGGAUAACUUCGUGAAACCGGAGCUAAUACCGUAUAAUAUUUUGAACCUCAUUGUUCAAAAGUGAAAGACGGUCUUGCUGUCACUUAUAGAUGGAUCCUCGCUGCAUUAGCUAGCUGGUAAGGUAACGGCUUACCAAGGCAACGAUGCAUAGCCGACCUGAGAGGGUGAUCGGCCACACUGGAACUGAGACACGGUCCAGACUCCUACGGGAGGCAGCAGUAGGGAAUCUUCCGAAAUGGGCGAAAGCCUGACGGAGCAACGCCGCGUGAGUGAUGAAGGUCUUCGGAUCGUAAAACUCUGUUAUUAGGGAAGAACAGAUGUGUAAGUAAAUGUGCACAUCUUGACGGUACCUAAUCAGAAAGCCACGGCUAACUACGUG
RNAcentral lists this ribosomal RNA (497 nucleotides) under uncultured bacterium. Its description in RNAcentral is "partial 16S ribosomal RNA". It matches the Rfam family "Bacterial small subunit ribosomal RNA", at positions 28 to 507 of the family's 1533-position model. The record is from RNAcentral.